AAUAGAAAUGAUGUACAUUAAACUACUGUGUAUAUUAAUUAUUUCAAACACUACCAUAUAGCACUUUUAAGUGUUCUGUAAGCAAAAAAUAUAUAUAGUUGUGGUUAUCAUGCAAACCACAAGAACCCUCCAAGGUUGUAAGUAGUUUGGGAUUAUUUUGGUCCUCUUUUUGAAGUUUUCUGCGUAAUGGUUUUCUUUUGGGGAUGUUAUUACUACUGCUAUAAAUCUAGAACUUAACUAUUGAUACUUGUGUUUUGAAAACAGUGUUCACCUUUGGACAUUAUCCAUGUUUGGAGAGUGGCAUACCACUUUACCUGUGCUUAUUGUGAACACAGGAAUUUGCCCCAAAUUUCUAUCUUUUUGUAGAUGGAUUGUAGCACAAUAAUUAAUGAAUUUUCAGUGGUACCGCUCAAUAUUUUGGGAACUUUGCAAACCUAAGUAUCAGAUGUACUUUUUUUUUUUAAUUGCUUAUUACCAUGUAACACAGUGUCUUCUCUUUAUGCCAAACUGGUGAACAAACAUAUAGAAUUGUUUCACUGAUGUGGAAUGUUGAGUACCGGCAGUUUUAUAAGUACAAGUCAGAAAGAGGCAGGACAGAUGGCCUCUUGUACUGAACGCUUCAAGAACUUAAUUUGUCCUAGUUUUCUGACAAAGACUUGACUCUGGUUUUCAUAGAGCUUGGUUUUUACCUAUCAUAGAGCAGAUUAGAUGGUAGUGAUGCACUGGUAGAGAUGGUUUUUAGUUAUUGACUCAGAAUUCAUCUCAUGAUUGAAUCUUUUAUGUUGUUUUACUGUAUGUAUAUCUACAUUGACUUAAUAAACAUGGGUUUAGUAACUUUGUGUUAAAAUUUGGCCUGGUAACAAUAAUUUCAUUUUUACCUAUCAAGGAGUAGAAAAAUCUCCAUGUAUUGGUAUGUGUAUAUUGACGUUAUUUGGUACUCAUGUGAUAUGUGAAAUAAAAUGGAUUUUUCUACAGCUUAAUGAUUUCCCUCUGGGGAGAGUUCUGGUACAGCAAUCACACUGCCAGAUGGUGUUUAUGGGCUAUUUAUGUAAGUGGUAAGAUACUAUGAAAUAAAGGGUGCUUUCAUCAGAUGGAAACUCUUGAUGCAUGUGUUUUUGUGUAGAAUAAAUUUGGGUGCAAUGUGAUGUCACUCCAUGUUGCAUUAAAUUUAAUUUCAAUUAUAUUUAUGUAGACGUAUAUCUGUCAUGCUUCUAGUUGCUUCAACCUUUGUAUCUAUAUAUUUUUUACUUAUUUUAAUAGAAAAUAUUUUAAGUGGAAAUUGAAUAAAAAUUUGAUAGUUUAAUAAAAGUCAUUGCGGUUUUUAAAAAAA
RNAcentral lists this long non-coding RNA (1330 nucleotides) under Sus scrofa (pig). RNAcentral's name for it is "lncRNA (ENSSSCG00025010440.1)". The record is from RNAcentral. Lineage: Eukaryota; Metazoa; Chordata; Mammalia; Artiodactyla; Suidae.